RNAcentral lists this transfer RNA (99 nucleotides) under Halocalculus aciditolerans. RNAcentral's name for it is "tRNA-Asp". Lineage: Archaea; Methanobacteriati; Methanobacteriota; Halobacteria; Halobacteriales; Halobacteriaceae. The record is from RNAcentral.
CGCCGUCGGGGCCGCCGGCGACGCAGAGAACGCGGUCGUCGGUCGCGACGACGAACGUCGCGUAGUUGCCGGUGGUGUGUUCGACGCGUUCGCCGGCGC